RNAcentral lists this ribosomal RNA (152 nucleotides) under uncultured archaeon. RNAcentral's name for it is "partial 16S ribosomal RNA". It matches the Rfam family "Archaeal small subunit ribosomal RNA", at positions 324 to 477 of the family's 1478-position model. The record is from RNAcentral.
GACGGGGUGCAGCAGGCGCGAAACCACCGCAAUGUGAGAAAUCGCGACGGGGGGAUCCCAAGUGCUAUUCUUAACGGGAUGGCUUUUCUUAAGUGUAAAAAGCUUUUGGAAUAAGAGCUGGGCAAGACCGGUGCCAGCCGCCGCGUAAUUCA